Molecule: non-coding RNA, 207 nt
Filed under: Turicibacter sp.
Lineage: Bacteria; Bacillati; Bacillota; Erysipelotrichia; Erysipelotrichales; Turicibacteraceae
Description: T-box sequence
Rfam family: T-box leader
About the family: Uncharged tRNA acts as the effector for transcription antitermination of genes in the T-box leader family.
Source: RNAcentral
AACAAAAUGUUGAUAGAAGAAAGUAGAGAUUUGCAGUUUCACAGAGAGGGAUUUCUAGGCUGAGAUAAAUCCUAACGAAAAAUACUCGAAAGCUACUUCUGGAGUGUAGGUAAAACCUAUCGGUUGGCGCCGUUAUUGCCUUCGAGUGUUAUUUUUUCAAACGAAAAAAUAAAAUUAAGGUGGUACCGCGUUCAAAUCGUCCUUAUU